ACAGAGGUCCCAAGCGUUGUUCGGAUUCACUGGGCGUAAAGGGUGCGUAGGUGGUCGGGUAAGUCGGACGUGAAAUCCCUCGGCUUAACCGGGGAACUGCGUCCGAUACUGGUUGGCUUGAGUUUGGGAGAGGGAUGCGGAAUUCCAGGUGUAGCGGUGAAAUGCGUAGAUAUCUGGAGGAACACCGGUGGCGAAGGCGGCAUCCUGGACCAAUACUGACGCUGAGGAGCGAAAGCGUGGGGAGCAAACGGGA
RNAcentral lists this ribosomal RNA (253 nucleotides) under uncultured prokaryote. RNAcentral's name for it is "partial 16S ribosomal RNA". It matches the Rfam family "Bacterial small subunit ribosomal RNA", at positions 525 to 777 of the family's 1533-position model. The record is from RNAcentral.